CCUACGGGUGGCAGCAGUGAGGAAUAUUGGUCAAUGGACGAGAGUCUGAACCAGCCAAGUAGCGUGAAGGAUGACUGCCCUAUGGGUUGUAAACUUCUUUUAUAUGGGAAUAAAAUGUUCCACGUGUGGGAUUUUGUAUGUACCAUAUGAAUAAGGAUCGGCUAACUCCGUGCCAGCAGCCGCGGUAAUACGGAGGAUCCGAGCGUUAUCCGGAUUUAUUGGGUUUAAAGGGAGCGUAGGUGGAUUGUUAAGUCAGAUGUGAAAGUUUGCGGCUCAACCGUAAAAUUGCAGUUGAAACUGGCAGUCUUGAGUACAGUAGAGGUGGGCGGAAUUCGUGGUGUAGCGGUGAAAUGCUUAGAUAUCACGAAGAACUCCGAUUGCGAAGGCAGUUCACUGGACUGCAACUGACACUGAGGCUCGAAAGUGUGGGUAUCAAACAGGAUUAGAUACCCGAGUAGUC
RNAcentral lists this ribosomal RNA (460 nucleotides) under uncultured bacterium. Its description in RNAcentral is "partial 16S ribosomal RNA". It matches the Rfam family "Bacterial small subunit ribosomal RNA", at positions 338 to 795 of the family's 1533-position model. The record is from RNAcentral.